Molecule: ribosomal RNA, 285 nt
Filed under: Triticum aestivum (bread wheat)
Lineage: Eukaryota; Viridiplantae; Streptophyta; Magnoliopsida; Poales; Poaceae
Description: partial small subunit ribosomal RNA
Source: RNAcentral
AUGCCGCCACCACUCGUCGUCAAUGACGCGGUAGAUACAACGCCGCACCACCUGGCAACCUCCACACCAUCGCCACUGCUGGAGCUACUCGGAGCCCACCAUCCACAACAUCUCUCCCCCGAACAGCAGUUCCUCCCAAGACGGCGCCUCCAUGGAGGAUACGACGCGCAGGACGCCGCCGCCGCCCAAUCCAGACUGAAUUUUGGACUUUCGUCCGGGAGGGGUUCGGGGGUGGAUAGGGGGGACCUCGGCUUCGCCUCCAGGAAGGGUAACGGCGUCAAGUGA